This 474-nucleotide ribosomal RNA is filed under the name uncultured bacterium. Its description in RNAcentral is "bacterial SSU rRNA". It matches the Rfam family "Bacterial small subunit ribosomal RNA", at positions 33 to 500 of the family's 1533-position model. The record is from RNAcentral.
ACGCUGGCGGUAUGCUUAACACAUGCAAGUCGAACGGAAACGAAACUAGCUUGCUAGUUGGCGUCGAGUGGCGGACGGGUGAGUAACGCGUAGGAAUCUACCUAGUAGUGGGGGAUAGCCCGAAGAAAUUCGGAUUAAUACCGCAUAAUCUAUUCGUAGUAAAGUGGGGGACUUUCGAGCCUCACGCUAUUAGAUGAGCCUGCGUAAGAUUAGCUUGUUGGUAGGGUAAAAGCCUACCAAGGCUACGAUCUUUAGCUGGUCUGAGAGGAUGAUCAGCCACAUCGGGACUGAGACACGGCCCGAACUCCUACGGGAGGCAGCAGUGGGGAAUAUUGGACAAUGGGGGCAACCCUGAUCCAGCAAUACCGCGUGUGUGAAGAAGGCCUGAGGGUUGUAAAGCACUUUCAAUUGGAAGAAAAGUUAACGGUUAAUAACCGUUAGCCUUGACGUUAACUUAGAAGAAGCACCGGCUAA